RNAcentral lists this long non-coding RNA (1169 nucleotides) under Sarcophilus harrisii (Tasmanian devil). Its description in RNAcentral is "lncRNA (ENSSHAG00000021437.1)". Lineage: Eukaryota; Metazoa; Chordata; Mammalia; Dasyuromorphia; Dasyuridae. The record is from RNAcentral.
GGAUAGUGUAGGUAGAGCAUACAUACUGAAAAUUUAUUUCUUUCACAGGAUAAUUAAAUUUUGUACCCUAAGUCAAAUUUAUUCUUGACUUGAAGGACUCCAGAAUCCCUCAGUUUAUUUAAUGUUAAGGGUAGCAAAAAUUCUUAUGGCUGAUGUUCUUCCCUUUUCUGAUGAGUCACUGUAAAAAAUUAAGGUUUUAUAAGCAAUAGUGAGAAAAGUACCUGGUCCAUUGAAACUCAUACCUAAAUUAUCCCAUAGAAAUAUCCCAUAGAAAUGAAUACUAUAUUAAAACACUUCCAGAGAUCUGUUUCGUCUUUUGCCCAAAAUAUUUCCCAAGUAAACAUAAGUACAGCAUCUCACUUUUCAUAUCUAUUUUGUUCUGCUCUGGAAAGCAACAAUUAUUGUCCUCCAGAACAGAAAAAGCUGAAAUUAAGGCCAUCACUGUUGACAUUUUAGAGUCAGUACCAAGUUAAUGUCUGUAUCUGAAUUAAUUACAAUGGACAUUAAAAUGAGAAAUAGGAUUUUUUUGAUUAUUUCCCUCUUGAUGCCAAGGACAAUAUUACAUACAGUAUAAGGUAAAUAAAUUCAUCAAUAAGGCUUAUAGUUUUCAUUGUCUGUCACUAUCAUACAUUAGGAUCUACCUGUCAUUUCUUACCGUUUUGGGGACAAAGCUAAAGAAGUAUGCCAGGUUAAGUCAAUUGAGGAAUUUUUAGAUUACAUGUCAAAAGAAAUAUUUUUCUCACUUUGUCAUGCCACCAAUGCAUAAUACAUUCCAAGCUUGAACUGAACUAAUCAGCAGGUUCUUUUCUGGUAAUGUUUAAUUAGUAUUGUUUAUGAUUCAGUUAUUAAGUUUUGUAGUCAGUUCAUUAGAGUUGGCUUUAUUCCUAUAAGAUUGACCCAUGAUUUAGCCAUUUCAUUCAGCUUCCUGGAUUCAGUUUUCCCUUUUCAAAUUACUGUUAUUUGAUUACCCUUUGGAAAGAUCAAGCUAUUAAUUUAAUUACAAUUAUUGAUAUUAAAUGUUUUGAUUGAGAAGAAAUGUAUAUGUUUUGACAUAAAGAUUUAGUGAUCACUUACUAUUUGUAAGGCAUUAUACUAGGCUAUGAAAUUUGGAAUUUAUUAAAAAUUGUCUUAUGUUAAGCCAAUGUAUAAACUAAUUAAGUUCUGUGCAG